RNAcentral lists this transfer RNA (86 nucleotides) under Acidimicrobiales bacterium. RNAcentral describes it as "tRNA-Leu". It matches the Rfam family "tRNA". From Rfam's summary of the family: Transfer RNA (tRNA) molecules are approximately 80 nucleotides in length. Their secondary structure includes four short double-helical elements and three loops (D, anti-codon, and T loops). Lineage: Bacteria; Bacillati; Actinomycetota; Acidimicrobiia; Acidimicrobiales. The record is from RNAcentral.
GCCCGGGUGGCGGAACUGGUAGACGCAGAGGGCUUAAACCCCUCGGGAGCCUCGGCUCCGUGCGGGUUCGACCCCCGCCCCGGGCA